Molecule: ribosomal RNA, 268 nt
Filed under: Salmonella enterica
Lineage: Bacteria; Pseudomonadati; Pseudomonadota; Gammaproteobacteria; Enterobacterales; Enterobacteriaceae
Description: partial 16S ribosomal RNA
Rfam family: Bacterial small subunit ribosomal RNA
Source: RNAcentral
AAAUUGAAGAGUUUGAUCAUGGCUCAGAUUGAACGCUGGCGGCAGGCCUAACACAUGCAAGUCGAACGGUAACAGGAAGCAGCUUGCUGCUUCGCUGACGAGUGGCGGACGGGUGAGUAAUGUCUGGGAAACUGCCUGAUGGAGGGGGAUAACUACUGGAAACGGUGGCUAAUACCGCAUAACGUCGCAAGACCAAAGAGGGGGACCUUCGGGCCUCUUGCCAUCAGAUGUGCCCAGAUGGGAUUAGCUUGUUGGUGAGGUAAUGGCU